This 295-nucleotide long non-coding RNA is filed under the name Vigna radiata. Its description in RNAcentral is "long non-coding RNA (VRAD_LNC016052)". Lineage: Eukaryota; Viridiplantae; Streptophyta; Magnoliopsida; Fabales; Fabaceae. The record is from RNAcentral.
AUUUGGUGGUGAUAUGCAAAGAACAAAAAUAAACAUGCAAUGCAAUUGUUUCAAUUGGUUUUGAGAAACUAUGGAUGAAUGGUGUUAUUGGGGGUUUACAAUUUCAUCUUAUCCACUCUCAUAUAUCUACUCUUCUUAUUUAAUUCACUUAUCUAUCUAAUUGCCAUGCAUACUUUCUUAAUUACCCUUAACCCAAUCCCUUGGUGAAAAUAGCCUAUUACUAACUACCGGCUUGCUAUCCCUAGCCUCCCCUAGUAACCAAUAAUGCAAUGCGAUCUGAAGCAAAUACAAUUGA